UUAUUAUUAUUAUUAUUGAAUACAGAGCAAUUAAAACGGUUUUGACUUGAAUAUAUGUGUGUUGUGGUAGACUAUAGUGUUUCAGAUUUGCAGAAGCCACAUAUUUUACCUAUUAAUGUGCCUUCAGGUUGAGGUGUGGCUAAACAUAUAAAGAGUUGCAGGUGACAGGUGAGCCAGUGGAUCAACACAUAGGUGAACAGUAAGUUGCGCAGAUGUCACUAAUUCAUUGACGUAAUUUGUAAUUUGUAAAGUUUGAAUAUAUUGUGUUGUAUUUCCUAUACAGAUUCUGCUGAACCCAUAAGUUCUCUGAAGUUAUGCGUCCACCACCACGACCACAACCUGCACCACCACGACCACGGCCACCGCCAAUACGGCACCAUCAAGUCCCCCACCAUCACAUGGCCCCCAUGUCCAUCUCCACAGGAGAAGAUACAAAAGUGAAGAUUGGUGUGUUGUGCUAUGAUGAUGGAUUUGGAUAAGUGUAGGCGCAGACACAGAUAAGAGACAGGCACCUCUUCUGCCACAAGAAGGGGAGGGAUUGUCACGGGGACUCCAGCAGCUCCUGCAGCAGUGACUCUGACUAGAUGAAGAUUUCGGGGCCGGGCUUUGUUGGAAACAUUAGUAUUACCUAUCCUUUCUCUUCUGUUUUUUUUUAAACGUUUACUUAAAAAUCAUUUUAACAGAUGUAAGAAAAAACUACAUUAAAUAUAAAGAAUAUGUAAAACAGAAGGCUCAUUCACAUAUUUAGAAAAACUGGAUGUAUGGGUUUUGGGAGUAUCAUUUUAAGCCUUGAGCUUUGCUAUGCUUACCUUGUUUAUUAAAUUAGAACAUGACAAGCUUGGCUCAACUCUACCUUAGAAGCUGAGGAAACUGUAUUCUCAUGGGGUAGCAACCUGUCAAUCACAAGGCAGGUCCUCCUGGAAAUUGUUUACUGAGUUCAUAAGUCGGAAGCAGGUAUAUCUCUGAAAUUAUGCCAAUAAAAUUCUUUUGCAGCCAGCUGCCCCCUGCUGGUCAUCAAAGAGAAUGCAUCUUUUAGACGCAGAAAAUGCAGAUUUUACAUCCAUCUUUUGUGCACAGACUUUGAGUAAUUUUUAAUCAGCUUCCACUGUAUGGUUACCUUACAAUGAAAUAAUAAAUAUAAACGGAUUAUU
Long non-coding RNA from Oreochromis niloticus (Nile tilapia), 1151 nucleotides. RefSeq lists it as uncharacterized. NCBI's taxonomy places the organism in Eukaryota, Metazoa, Chordata, Actinopteri, Cichliformes, Cichlidae. The record is from RefSeq and is a predicted model, not a curated record. The transcript is spliced from 3 exons.